RNAcentral lists this ribosomal RNA (503 nucleotides) under uncultured bacterium. RNAcentral describes it as "partial 16S ribosomal RNA". It matches the Rfam family "Bacterial small subunit ribosomal RNA", at positions 30 to 523 of the family's 1533-position model. The record is from RNAcentral.
AUUGAACGCUGGCGGCAGGCUUAACACAUGCAAGUCGAGCGGGGUGAUGGUGCUUGCACUAUCACUUAGCGGCGGACGGGUGAGUAAUGCUUAGGAAUCUGCCUAUUAGUGGGGGACAACAUCUCGAAAGGGAUGCUAAUACCACAUACGUCCUACGGGAGAAAGAAGGGGAUCACUUGUGACCUUGCGCUAAUAGAUGAGCCUAAGUCGGAUUAGCUAGUUGGUGGGGUAAAGGCCUACCAAGGCGACGAUCUGUAGCGGGUCUGAGAGGAUGAUCCGCCACACUGGGACUGAGACACGGCCCAGACUCCUACGGGAGGCAGCAGUGGGGAAUAUUGGACAAUGGGGGGAACCCUGAUCCAGCCAUGCCGCGUGUGUGAAGUAGGCCUUAUGGUUGUAAAGCACUUUAAGCGAGGAGGAGGCUCUUUUGGUUAAUACCCAAGAUGAGUGGACGUUACUCGCAGAAUAAGCACCGGCUAACUCUGUGCCAGCCGCCGCGGUAA